Molecule: non-coding RNA, 79 nt
Organism: Mycena rosella
Lineage: Eukaryota; Fungi; Basidiomycota; Agaricomycetes; Agaricales; Mycenaceae
Source: the annotation of a GenBank genome assembly
GCCUGUGUGGCAUAGCUGGUAUGUCGGCGGAUUAAAGUUACGUAAUCCGAGUAUGCGUGUUCAAUUCGUGUCGCAGUUG